UACGUAGGGGCAAGCGUUUGUCCGGAAUCAUUGGGCGUAAAGAGCGUGUAGGCGGCCCGGUAAGUCCGCUGUGAAAGUCCAGGGCUCAGCCCUGGGAUGCCGGUGGAUACUGUCGGGCUCGAGUCCGGAAGAGGAGUGUGGAAUUCCUGGUGUAGCGGUGAAAUGCGCAGAUAUCAGGAGGAACACCAAUGGCGAAGGCAGCACUCUGGGACGUGACUGAC
Molecule: ribosomal RNA, 221 nt
Filed under: uncultured bacterium
Lineage: Bacteria
Description: partial 16S ribosomal RNA
Rfam family: Bacterial small subunit ribosomal RNA
Source: RNAcentral